AAUGAACGCUGGCGGCAUGCCUAACACAUGCAAGUCGAACGAGACCUUCGGGUCUAGUGGCGCACGGGUGCGUAACGCGUGGGAAUCUGCCCUUGGGUUCGGAAUAACAGUGAGAAAUUACUGCUAAUACCGAAUGAUGACGUAAGUCCAAAGAUUUAUCGCCCAGGGAUGAGCCCGCGUAGGAUUAGCUAGUUGGUGAGGUAAAAGCUCACCAAGGCGACGAUCCAGCUGGUCUGAGAGGACGACCAGCCACACUGGGACUGAGACACGGCCCAGACUCCUACGGGAGGCAGCAGUGGGGAAUAUUGGACAAUGGGGGCAACCCUGAUCCAGCAAUGCCGCGUGUGUGAAGAAGGCC
RNAcentral lists this ribosomal RNA (358 nucleotides) under uncultured bacterium. RNAcentral's name for it is "bacterial SSU rRNA". It matches the Rfam family "Bacterial small subunit ribosomal RNA", at positions 29 to 416 of the family's 1533-position model. The record is from RNAcentral.